AUGGAUGAUGCUGGCAUGGUGUUCCUUCUCGAUGCUAUUUACAAGCCAUCCUUUGCCAGGUUCCCACUGCGAGAGGAGUUCGCCGACAGCCAUAUGCAUCACACCAGGCUAUUCCCUGAGGUUCAUGGGAGGCGUGAUAUGACUGACAAGAGUGGGAACAUACUUCCGGGAACUGUGGUUGACCUCAUGAUUUGCCACCCUAUAGAGUUUGAUUUCUACUUGUGCAGCCAUGCUGGCAUUCAGGGAACUAGCAGGCCAACACACUACCAUGUUCUUUAUGAUGAGAAUCACUUCACAGCCGAUGCGCUUCAGUCACUGACCAACAAUCUCUGCUACACCUAUGCUCGUUGCACUCGUGCGGUCUCUGUUGAUGAAGUCAAGGGAACACCUGAUGAGACUUCGGCUAUUGCAACAACAGAAUGCCCACUUGCAGAGAAGGGAUCCAAAUCAACCGGCUCUUAA
This 462-nucleotide ribosomal RNA is filed under the name Triticum aestivum (bread wheat). RNAcentral's name for it is "partial small subunit ribosomal RNA". Lineage: Eukaryota; Viridiplantae; Streptophyta; Magnoliopsida; Poales; Poaceae. The record is from RNAcentral.